This 253-nucleotide ribosomal RNA is filed under the name uncultured bacterium. RNAcentral's name for it is "partial 16S ribosomal RNA". It matches the Rfam family "Bacterial small subunit ribosomal RNA", at positions 524 to 776 of the family's 1533-position model. The record is from RNAcentral.
UACGAAGGGGGCUAGUGUUGCUCGGAAUCACUGGGCGUAAAGCGCACGUAGGCGGCUUUCUAAGUCAGGGGUGAAAUCCUGGAGCUCAACUCCAGAACUGCCUUUGAUACUGGAGAGCUUGAGUCCGGAAGAGGUGAGUGGAACUCCGAGUGUAGAGGUGAAAUUCGUAGAUAUUCGGAAGAACACCAGUGGCGAAGGCGGCUCACUGGUCCGGUACUGACGCUGAGGUGCGAAAGCGUGGGGAGCAAGCAGG